Vicugna pacos (alpaca) is the source of this 379-nucleotide non-coding RNA. Lineage: Eukaryota; Metazoa; Chordata; Mammalia; Artiodactyla; Camelidae. The record is from RefSeq and is a predicted model, not a curated record.
UUGUGGUGCCUCUAGACUUCUUUCCGGAAGAUUUCUGUUUCAGAGAUCUGAGAACCUUGGUCUAAGAGACAGGGGGAACCUCAAAUGCUGCCCAGCCAUAGCCAUGUACAAUUAGACAUCCCUGGACGCUUUUCUGAACCUAGAAGAGUAGAGGAACGUUUUCUCCCUCCCUGACAGCUGGUGUAGUUGGUGAGAUAAACUUCCCUGGCUGGACUCCGCCCCGCCGAGGCUGCUGCAGCUGAGCAAUACUGGGACAUCUGACAAGUGCUCCAAGACCUGGGCUCUGAGUUAUUUGGCUUGUCGGGGACAGGGGCUGAUCUUUCGGCAACAAAGCUGCAGCAAGUUUCUUGAAAAUGCAAGCAAGAGGGCUAACCCCUCC